Carcharodon carcharias (great white shark) is the source of this 956-nucleotide long non-coding RNA. RefSeq lists it as uncharacterized. The record is from RefSeq and is a predicted model, not a curated record. Lineage: Eukaryota; Metazoa; Chordata; Chondrichthyes; Lamniformes; Lamnidae. The transcript has 10 exons.
CUAAAGCGGGGCGCCUGGUUUGGAGGUGGAUUCUGCGGGGCUCCCGCUGGCUAUAAAAGGGCGGCGCCAGGCUGAUCUCGCUCUCUCUCUUACUGGGCUGGCAGCGGAGCGAAUGGUUGAAUUCCAAAUAUAGCAGCAAUUCUCAGAACACAAAGUGGUUAAAUUCAGAUACCUGAAGAAUUUGAGCUAUUGGAAGUAACCAAGAUAAAAUGCAGAUUGAGUUCCAAAUAUAGCAAUUUUCAGAACACGAAGUGGUUAAAUUCAGAUACCUGAAGAAUUUGAGCUAUGGAAGUAACCAAGAUAAAAUGCAGUGGGACUUGAGCAUAAGUGACUGGUCUUGCAAUAGGAUGACUUAAAAGAAAUUCCUAGUGAGGUGGCUUCGUGUGGGUAUUGGAAUUGUUACCAGCUUGACUACUGAGGUCCCUCUGCCUUAUGUGAAGAUGAGUUUGGAGGAAUGUUCAGUCUACCUUAGGUGAACUUCUGGCAAAUUUUAUAACCAGCUUCCAAGACUGCUUGGAGUCAUCUUUAGCUAUGCCAUAAGGUGCAUCAGUGCUUGGCUACAGAGAUGACUGAAGUAAAUUCUCAAACAGGUUAGGGAGUAAGAGGUGUGUGCAAGAUUGCUGCCAGGAUGACCUUCUGAAAAUAUUGAUUGAAGUGGUCUCAAAUUAGCCAGUUUUCCUUAAGGAAGUGUUGGAAUUGCAGAAAAUGGACAGCUGGACUGAAGAUCAGAUUACCUGACAACGGCUUGCCUUUUUGACUAGCAUUUUGCAUGUAUUUUUACACGUGGUCAAAAGUUAAUUAAAUUCCUGGCUUUGGGUUGCUACAUUAAGAAUCUUCAAAGAGGAAAUGAGAAUUCCAUCUCUAGUUCAAUAAAAUUGUAAACAUCUAGCUUGUACAAAUUUGUGCUCUAGCAUUCAUUGUGCACUUCACUUAAAUAAAGUAAUUGGUUGAGAUUA